This 450-nucleotide long non-coding RNA is filed under the name Mytilus galloprovincialis (Mediterranean mussel). The record is from RNAcentral. Lineage: Eukaryota; Metazoa; Mollusca; Bivalvia; Mytilida; Mytilidae.
GUCCCAUUACUUUAUAUAGACAGCCUAUCAGACAACAUGGUAUAUCAACGUAGCUCUCCUAGCCUUUUGUAAAGUAAGACGAGGAACAAGAUAUAAACUGACUUAUCUUGGUAUAUACAUGUAUAUUUAAUAAACUCAUAUUGAUAUAAAAAAGAAGAUGUGGUAUGAUUGUCAAUGAGAACAAAAAAAAACCAGAAAUUAACAACUAUAAGUCACCGUACGGCCUUCAACUAUAAGCAAAGCACACAACGCAUAGUCAGCUAUAAAAGGCCACGAAAUGACAAUGCAAAACAAUUCAAAAAAAAAAACUAACGGCUUAAUGUAUGUACAAAAAUUAAAUGAAAAACAAAAAUGUGACACAUACACAAACGACAACCACUGAAUUACAGGCUCUUGACUUCGGACAGGCACAUACAUUUAGAAUGUGGCGGGGUUAAAUAUGUAAGCGGG